UCUUAGGUUGACCUCGGAUCAGGUAGGGAUACCCGCUGAACUUAAGCAUAUC
This 52-nucleotide ribosomal RNA is filed under the name Aspergillus acidohumus. RNAcentral's name for it is "partial 28S ribosomal RNA". Lineage: Eukaryota; Fungi; Ascomycota; Eurotiomycetes; Eurotiales; Aspergillaceae. The record is from RNAcentral.